This 75-nucleotide transfer RNA is filed under the name Candidatus Aenigmatarchaeota archaeon. Its description in RNAcentral is "tRNA-Arg". It matches the Rfam family "tRNA". Rfam says of the family: Transfer RNA (tRNA) molecules are approximately 80 nucleotides in length. Their secondary structure includes four short double-helical elements and three loops (D, anti-codon, and T loops). Further hydrogen bonds mediate the characteristic L-shaped molecular structure. tRNAs have two regions of fundamental functional importance: the anti-codon, which is responsible for specific mRNA codon recognition, and the 3' end, to which the tRNAs corresponding amino acid is attached (by aminoacyl-tRNA synthetases). tRNAs cope with the degeneracy of the genetic code in two manners: having more than one tRNA (with a specific anti-codon) for a particular amino acid; and 'wobble' base-pairing, i.e. permitting non-standard base-pairing at the 3rd anti-codon position. The record is from RNAcentral. Lineage: Archaea; Nanobdellati; Candidatus Aenigmatarchaeota.
GGGCCCGUAGCUCAACUUGGAUAGAGCGCUUGGCUUCGGACCAAGUGGUUGGGGGUUCAAAUCCCUCCGGGCUCG